UGCCGAUGGGAGGUACUUGGAGUCUGAACUGACCGAUGAACUGAAGAAGAUAAAGAAAAAUCAAAGGGAGAUGAUCGAUUUGCAGAAGCAAGCAAAUAUCAUGGCAGUGUUUUUUUAUUGCUGUGCCAUUGCUCUGUUUAUGUUUUACUUGCUAUUCAUCGUCAUUAGAGGGGGCAUUUAGGUCUGUCCAGUGUAGAUGAUGUGAUCUGAUGACAAGUUCAUGUAUCUUAAAUGAAUCAGCAGUUUGGAACACAAAUUAU
This 260-nucleotide long non-coding RNA is filed under the name Hordeum vulgare. RNAcentral describes it as "long non-coding RNA (HVUL_LNC000269)". Lineage: Eukaryota; Viridiplantae; Streptophyta; Magnoliopsida; Poales; Poaceae. The record is from RNAcentral.